UACGUAGGGGGCAAGCGUUGUCCGGAUUUAUUGGGCGUAAAGAGCGUGUAGGCGGUUAGGUAGGUCCGUUGUGAAAACUCGAGGCUCAACCUCGAGACGCCGAUGGAAACCAUCUAACUAGAGUCCGGAAGAGGAGAGUGGAAUUCCUGGUGUAGCGGUGAAAUGCGCAGAUAUCAGGAAGAACACCCGCGGCUAAGGCGGCUCUCUAGUACGGUACUGACGCUGAGACGCGAAAGCGUGGGGAGCGAACAGG
Molecule: ribosomal RNA, 253 nt
Filed under: uncultured bacterium
Lineage: Bacteria
Description: partial 16S ribosomal RNA
Rfam family: Bacterial small subunit ribosomal RNA
Source: RNAcentral